Argiope bruennichi is the source of this 370-nucleotide long non-coding RNA. RefSeq lists it as uncharacterized. The transcript has 3 exons. NCBI's taxonomy places the organism in Eukaryota, Metazoa, Arthropoda, Arachnida, Araneae, Araneidae. The record is from RefSeq and is a predicted model, not a curated record.
GAUGAAAUGCACUAUCUAAUGCAUAGAAUUCAAGAAGUAACAAGGCGCUAAUGACCAGCUCAGUAUGGAAGUGGUUACUUGAAUUGUGCCUUCAUUAAGUUUACUGCCAUAAACCCUGAAAGAUUUAUGUUCCUUGAAACAAGCGAUGGUCGCCUGCAUAAUUGAAAAUGGUGACGCCUCCACGUCGGCACAUGAAAAGAUCAUGCUUUGUCACAUCUUCCUCUAGAAGCGAACUUGACUCUUGUACUAGGGGGAGUGUGAUCUCGGCUCUCUCUCUCCCGAGAAAUUCUAUGUGUAGUUCUCUAGGCCUACUACACUAUGGCGUAAUCAUGUACCAAUAAACCCCAUAAAAGACAACCUGUGUAUUCAA